UACAUAGGUCCCAAGCGUUGUUCGGAUUCACUGGGCGUAAAGGGUGCGUAGGUGGUGGGGUAAGUCGGAUGUGAAAUCUCCGGGCUCAACCCGGAAAUGGCAUUGGAAACUACCUUGCUGGAGGAUUUGAGGGGGGAUUGGAAUACUUGGUGUAGCAGUGAAAUGCGUAGAUAUCAAGUGGAACACCAGUGGCGAAGGCGAAUCCCUGGAAAAUACCUGACACUGAGGCACGAAAGCUAGGGGAGCAAACAGG
Molecule: ribosomal RNA, 253 nt
Filed under: uncultured bacterium
Lineage: Bacteria
Description: partial 16S ribosomal RNA
Rfam family: Bacterial small subunit ribosomal RNA
Source: RNAcentral